AUGAACGCUGGCGGCGUGCCUAAUACAUGCCAGUCGAGCGAACGGACGAGAAGCUUGCUUCUCUGAUGUUAGCGGCGGACGGGUGAGUAACACGUGGAUAACCUACCUAUAAGACUGGGAUAACUUCGGGAAACCGGAGCUAAUACCGGAUAAUAUUUUGAACCGCAUGGUUCAAAAGUGAAAGACGGUCUUGCUGUCACUUAUAGAUGGAUCCGCGCUGCAUUAGCUAGUUGGUAAGGUAACGGCUUACCAAGGCAACGAUGCAUAGCCGACCUGAGAGGGUGAUCGGCCACACUGGAACUGAGACACGGUCCAGACUCCUACGGGAGGCAGCAGUAGGGAAUCUUCCGCAAUGGGCGAAAGCCUGACGGAGCAACGCCGCGUGAGUGAUGAAGGUCUUCGGAUCGUAAAACUCUGUUAUUUGGGAAGAACAUAUGUGUAAGUAACUGUGCACAUCUUGACGGUACCUAAUCAGAAAGCCACGGCUAACUACGUG
This 496-nucleotide ribosomal RNA is filed under the name uncultured bacterium. Its description in RNAcentral is "partial 16S ribosomal RNA". It matches the Rfam family "Bacterial small subunit ribosomal RNA", at positions 29 to 507 of the family's 1533-position model. The record is from RNAcentral.